Molecule: non-coding RNA, 73 nt
Organism: Potamilus streckersoni
Lineage: Eukaryota; Metazoa; Mollusca; Bivalvia; Unionida; Unionidae
Source: the annotation of a GenBank genome assembly
GCUCCGGUGGCUUAGUGGUUAGAGCGUCCGCCGCGGAUGCCGGAAGUUGUGGGAUCUAUCCCCGGUCGAUUCA